This is a non-coding RNA of Parcubacteria bacterium DG_74_1, 72 nucleotides long. NCBI's taxonomy places the organism in Bacteria, Candidatus Parcubacteria. The record is from Rfam.
GGGCAUGUAGUUCAGUGGUAGAACGCUACUCUUAUAAAGUAGAAGUCCCAGGUUCAAUCCCUGGCAUGCCCA